AGUGAACGCUGGCGGUAGGCCUAACACAUGCAAGUCGAACGGCAGCACAGUAAGAGCUUGCUCUUACGGGUGGCGAGUGGCGGACGGGUGAGGAAUACAUCGGAAUCUACUUUUUCGUGGGGGAUAACGUAGGGAAACUUACGCUAAUACCGCAUACGACCUACGGGUGAAAGCAGGGGAUCUUCGGACCUUGCGCGAUUGAAUGAGCCGAUGUCGGAUUAGCUAGUUGGCGGGGUAAAGGCCCACCAAGGCGACGAUCCGUAGCUGGUCUGAGAGGAUGAUCAGCCACACUGGAACUGAGACACGGUCCAGACUCCUACGGGAGGCAGGAGUGGGGAAUAUUGGACAAUGGGCGCAAGCCUGAUCCAGCCAUACCGCGUGGGUGAAGAAGGCCGUCGGGUUGUAAAGCCCUUUUGUUGGGAAAGAAAAGCAGCAGGUUAAUACCCCGCUGUCCUGACGGGACCCAAAGAAUAAGCACCGGCUAACUUCGU
Molecule: ribosomal RNA, 491 nt
Filed under: uncultured bacterium
Lineage: Bacteria
Description: partial 16S ribosomal RNA
Rfam family: Bacterial small subunit ribosomal RNA
Source: RNAcentral